UUAACUAACCUAUUUCACCAGAUAAACAUAUGUCUCGUCUGUUUUAGCACAUCAAAUAGCUCUUCGUACCGCUUUUAUUUAUACCAACAGAUGACCUAUCUGUUGCAGCAGAUGAUUCAUAUGUUGCAACGGAUGGUUCAUCCGUUUGAAAUUAUCAUACAGGGUCUUUCUUAUGUAGAAAUUUAUCCCAACAGUUGAUUUACUGUUGUAACAAAAAUAUAAUUUGUUUAGGACAAUAUAAAAUGGGAGGAAGACCUGUUUGAUUUGCUAGAAGAGAUGAGUUAUCCUUUUUAAUUUUGUUGUAUCUCCGUGAUUAGCAUUGUCCAAUUCUGGCUUUUCAGGUGGAUAUAGAAGAAGCUACUGAUGAACAGCAUUGAAAUAUGCUACUCUUUUUAUGGAAAUACAGAGAACAGAAAGCACAAAAACCAUACGUAAGCGACAAUAAAGAUCCACGACGAGUAAAGCUGAAUUUCAUAGCACCGGAUGAAGAACAACUUGUCCAUACUAUGUAGAUCUUUAUAGCUUGAGCCUGUCAAAGAAAUCCUUGACAGUAUACUUAAACUGUUGUUGAUGUAUUUGUUGAGAUAUGUACCCAUAAUAAUUUUUUUAUAUUUCAUUUAUUUGUUGACUUAUUUCAGCUAAUUUAUGAAGGCUUCGAUUUAUUUUAUUUUAUCUAUGAAUUUUAUUUAUUCCUUAGAUUUGAACUUAUUAAUUGAAAAGAAAUACUAGAUUCAAAUAUUGCAACAGAUAAUGUAUAUAUUGCAAUAGAUGACACAUCUAUUGUAAAAAUCGAACAGAUUUAGACAUAUGUUGCAAUAGGUAGGUGAUCUGUUGGAAUUUAUCAAACAGGUCUUCCCACUAUUGCAACAGAUGGACUUAGAUAAAAACAUCGAGAUAAUGCAACAGAUGACCAACCUAUUGCAACAGAUAAACUAUAUGUCAGAAUAGGUAGAAUAACUGUUACAACGGAUGUAGAAUCUGUUGCAUUAUAAAAAUUCAACUUUCGUUGGAUAUAAAAAAUUGCCACUACGUGUAAAAAGGUUAAAGUGAAUUGAAUUGAAAUAAAAAAGGCACAACCCAUCGAUGAUGUUCAGUUCAAACACCUAAAAUAAAAUAAGCAUCAAGUAGACAGUGUUCAUUUUAAACACGUAAAAUAAAAUAGGCAUCAAAUGAGUCAAUUUGGCAUAUUUUGCUGACUUGCCGUCACUUGGCCCCCAACGGUCAUUUUUUUCCCCAAUUGUCUUAUAUAUUCAUCUUCCUCCUAUAAUUUAACCCUAAAUUCUCAAAUCUUCUUUUUCAUCAUCAUCUUCUUGUACCUAUCCAAAUUCUUCAAAUUAUUUCUUUCAUUUUUUCCAAUUGAGCUUGACAAUGUCGAGCGCAUCUUCCACUAUUUUUUGUGAUAAAGAUUUUUGAUAUUGUAAGUGCGGUCAUGAAGCUCUGUUAAAGACUUCUUGGACUCAACAAAAUACGGAUCGUAGGUUUUUUACUUGUAAGAUUUCAAAGGUAAUAUUUUUUUAUUUAAUUAGUUGAUUAAUUAUUGACUUGUAAUUGUUUUAUAAUUUAUUUUCUUUUCUUUUUUACAGAAAUUGGGUGGAUGCGAUUACUUUGAUUGGCAUGAAGAACGAUAUCCUUCACAAUCAAAUCGUGUCGUUAUUGCUACUGGUUUGGUGUUGUUAGGAACAUGGAUAUUCAAGCCUAAUUGCUGAAAUUUUCAUGGUGGUGUGUGUAUUUGCUACUGGUUUGGUAUUGUCGAGCACAUGAAUAUUCAAGCAUAACUAUUGAAAAAUAUCAAAAAGAUUUCGGCAUAUGUUGUAAAAUUUAGGUCAUCUAUUGAAAAUUAUCAAAUAGGUCUUCCCACUAUUGCAACAGAUUAAACUUAUAUUAUUAGAUUAUUCAUAGAAAUAAUAUCGGUGUAAUGCAAUAGAUGACCAACCUAUUGCAACAGAUAAACUAUCUGCCAGAACGGAUUAAAUAUAUUUUAUGACAAAUUGACAAUCUAAUCUAUUGCAUUAUAAAAAACUCAACUUUCAUCAGAAAAAAAUUAUUGCCACUACAUGUACAAGUAAUAAAGUGAAGGGUGACUAGAAAUUAAAAAUUUCUAUUUCACAGGCUCUUCUAUAUACACAGGCUUCAAGCACCCAGUUAGUACCCCAUAAACCCAGACCUCCUGCAGGUUAGCCACAACGUUGUCACACAGAAAAGUCGUUGGCUCAACCAUUUUUGUGUUGGUCAGCAAACAGUCGAUGUGUGCAAGAGCGUGCGAGUCGCUCGCUUUAGCGGCAUCAUCUUUUGAAAGGAUCAUUCCCUUGUUUCAACCUUUAAAAUCCCAUGAUUUCUUUAUCAACACUUCCUUUGGCAAAUGAUUCAUCAGUUUACUCUCCCUCAACAAGAUGGGCAACGGCACCAUCAGUGGCUUUACGAUGAGAAAAAGAUCAAAAUCAUCGACGAGAGAUACAUUGGAGUCAUAAACAUUGAUCUUUACCUCCUCGAGUAGUAUCUCAACAGCCCGAUAAUACAUGUUGUUCACGCUAAUGACUGCAAGAAUCCUUUUUGCCUCGGUCCAGCUCUUUCCGUGUGGAUUUGGCCUGUCCCCUCUAACAUAUUUUAUCAUUUCUUCUUCAUCCAAGACCAACGUAGGAACUAGGAAAUAAAGUCACAUGCCAAGGGCUAACGCCUCCCCAUUGAGUUGAUUGUACCUAUCCUUGAACUUCUUGAAGAAGUCGAGGUCCAUUAUCCUAUUGGCCGCGUCAUAAGCUUCCCGGUACAUUAAUUGCCUUUUCCUCAUGAGGCAGAGAAUUAUGUCAACAUGCUGUGAGAUAAGAAGUCAAUUUUUAAAUAGGUUAGUAAUAGUAAAGAUGCAACGGAUGGUCCAUCUGUUGCAUAGGGUCCAUCCAACACAACUUAUACAACAAAUGGAUAAUAAGUUGGAACAGAACUACUACCAGUUGCACUAGUAUACCCAGCUGUUGUAACAAAUGUGAAAUCUAUUGUGAAGUUUCUUCUUCAUGGGGUAGAUUAGAAGGGCUAGGUUAGGAAAAGUAAAUUUUCCUUAUCCUCGUAUGGCAUACGCAUAUUAGUUUGGAAGUCUUGGGGGGAAAAGGAGGCCUGAGGUAAUCUGGUGCACCUGGCUUGGCAUUCUUGGCCUGUCGCAGAUCCUUCUUCUCUUCGGCUCCAAGUUCUGCAUAUAUGUCCACCUUCUUAACUGGCCCCUAAACUUCAACAACUUUUGGAGAGAUAGGAAUUGCAAUUUCUUUUGAUUUCCGACCGGUGAGUAUGUCUCUUAUUGCUCUUUUCUUUCUCCCAACCAACACUGUAGGAGUGUGAAGCUCCCUCACCUUCUUGGAUGGUAUGACACACUUCUUGGAUUUGAAUUCCUUAAUAGCUUUAGAGAUAGCCUCUACUUUUUCAAAGAGUUUAUCUUGUCUGUCCUUGCACUCUUCGCAUUCACAAUGACACAAAGGUGAAGAGGGGUGAGAGGGACCUGUGUAAGGGCGAAAAGAGGUGUUUUCAAAAAUAUUUAUUCUUUCUUAAGCAUCAACAUGUGCAUCAUCACAAGUGGUAGCAGCAUCUGUAUGCCUGCCACCAAAACCAAUAACUCCACCAGAAGAAGCACCCGGAUCCGCCUUAGUAAAAGGUUGGUCAUGAAGAGCCUCAACAUUAGGCUGACCUUACCUAACUGCUCUUCUAAUGGUUGUUACUCUAGCAAAUUUCUUCUUUAUUAACUCCACCAUUGGGUUUGCUAUAGUAUCAACAUGACCUAGAGUAAUAUAAGAAGUCAUCACCGACUCCUCCUUAGUAGGCACGAUCCAUGGAUGCACAACCUAUAAAAAGAAAAAAAAGAUAAAUGCAUUUAAAUCAUAUAAUAUAAUAAUUUUCACAGUUGGGCUACAUUUAAAAAAAACCAUCUGUUGCAUAGUUUGCAGUAUAUGGUUAAAAUUUGUUUGUAUCUGGUUCAAAGAAAUAGAGCAACACAUGGAUAAUCUAUUGCAAUAGUUGCACAAAACGGGUAAUCAGUUAUACAACAGAUGAUCUGUACGUCACAACAGAUGAACAAUAUGUUAUAAGAUUACACAUCUGUUGCAUAAUUUGCAGUAGAUGGUUAAUCUUUUAGGAGUCGAGUUCAGAGAACCAAAGUAAUAGAUGGGUAAUCUGAUGCAAGAUAUACCCUGUCAUAAUAGAUGUCCCAUCUGGUGCAUCAGAUAUAACAUCUGUUGCACCAGAUAUAAUAUCUGUUCAAUAUCUUUUUUAUCUUUGAGUAGAAUUAUUUUACUUGAAGAAGACGUACUGCAUCAUCCGGAGGGUUAAAGAGAUCAUCCUCUUUAAUAUUGGUGUUUCUCUUUGCAGCCAACCACCUAAACAUCCUUGGAUGAGAAAACUCAUUCGGGUAAUCCAUUAACUGCUUUCGGAGGGGAGGAAUGACUUCAAAUACCCAAGCCUAAAAAAUGUAAACAGGAAGCAAGCAAAAAAAAAGUCAUAAUAACUAUAUUCAAUAUAAAUUAAUGGAUGAGUAAAAUUAGUGAUUAAUUUUACCAUGAAAGCCCAACAAAAGCCGUAUAAUGUGGUCGUCCCGGAGGAUAGCUUUGUCAGUAAAUAUUGGACAAUCAAGUAGAAGUUGUAAUAUCCCCAGGGAUAAUUGUUGAAUUUAUCAAAAUCCUCAGCACGCGCCAACAAAUCAUCUUCUAUAACCUUGUUGAUGUCUCUUGCCAAUAUAACCAAAUCGACAAACCAAAAUAAGCAUAAUUGCUCCUUGUAUUGCUCUGGUAUGGUUUUUCCUUGAGAUCUGUCAACAAAUCCAAUGCUUUGUAGCCACGUCGAGCAAUAUUAAACAACCUAUGUAUUUUUUCCUUGCAUUUUAUUGCCUUGAAUCUUUUGCGGGGUAGUGGUCCUUCUGGACGAUAGCAUCUCAAGGUCGUCACUAUGGCAAAUUCUUGCAAGCCAAAACAAACGGGAAUGCCACAGUAGUUGAUCCAGAUUUCAUCCAUAUUCUUUUUGCCCCCUCCUCCGAAUCUUUAUCAUCCCCCACGUACUUGAUCCUGCGCUUGAGAAGACCAUAUACCAUCGUCAUAGGGAAAUGGAUACGGGCAGAGGGGUCCUCAGGCAGCUCGAGAAACGUCCAAAGAAGCUCUUCUUAAAAAGUCCGCCUAUGUUUUCGUGCUUCAUAAUUUUCAUAAAAUGUUCAAAAAAUUUCCCCAUAUAAUAUUUAAGUACAAUUUGACCAGUUAGUUCUUUUCCUUCUGGGUCAUUUAUCGGCAUAGAAACUUAAAACCUAUUAAUACUAAAAGUUUUGACAGGAUCAUGCUGGGAUGUCGAUAUUAAUUUAGGCCCCAUCGGUGAUCCAUUAUCAUCAUGUUGAUGAUAUUCUCUUUCUCUUUCUCACUCUCCAAUUCCUCCUCUUUCUCACUUUCAUUUUCUUCAUCACCAUCUAUGAUCCCUUAUACACCUCCCUCAAUGUUGUUUUCAUAUCUCUUCUAAGCUUCACUUUUCUCUGAAUGAGAUUGUUCAGGAAGCUCCUCUGAAUCCCUUUGUACUGUAGCCUUUUUUUAGUGGUCAGACAUUGAUUCACUUUUACUUUCUUUUCUUUUGGAGACAUGUUUUACCUACAGACAAAGAAAAACAAAAUUGCAUUACAAUUGAUUUAUGAAUAGAUUUUAAAAAAUACAUUACAAACACCACGAAUACUGAUACACCAACAACCAACACCACAAAUACCAACAACAAAUGCUAACAAACAAAUAAACACCACAAAUACCAACAUCACCAACAGCCACUACAAACACCGCCAACCAAUGCCACCACCAGUGCCACUAUGACGACCGCAAACACCACCACCACCACCAAUAACAACAAUAACAACGCAAACACCAUCCAACAAUACCACGACAGUCAACGGAACACUACGAUGGAAACUAGAGAUUUCUUGAGUUCUUCCUAUGAUUUUACCAUGAAAACUCAAAAUUGUAAAUCUAUUCUCGAAGAUAAUACAACUAAAAGUUUUAUUUUUCAUCAUUAACUUAAAAGCCCUUAUUUUUUAGAAAAAAAUAAACAAAUAUAGAGCUCCUCUCAAACUUUGUUGCCUACGAAGACAAAUAAAACGAUUGAUACAAGCAAGAGCAAAGUAAAAAAUAACACCUAUGUGGUUGAAAAUGAGAAGAAAAGCGAUCUGUUGUGGAGGUUUGAGCAAAUUUGUUGACCUCGAGAUUUGAAAUGAUGAAACAUUUUGUAUGGGUUGAUUUGUAUUUUGGAAAAGAAUGACAAGUAGUUUUGAAAAUAUUAAUUUGGUCUGAAUUGAUCUUAAUUAUUUUUAAAAUCAUAAAAUAUAUGUAUAAUUUUUAACCCUCUCAUUAUGCAAUUGCCAAAAGGGUAAUUCAAUUGAAAUUAUAUAAAAACAAUUGAAGUUGUAGUUGACCGAGUACUCUAGUUGACCCUAUGAAAACUCACCCCUAGUCUUAGAUUAACCAAUUUAGGUACUAUUAGUCUAACAUAUGAACUCAAUUGAAAUUGUAAAAAAUAAAUAUUCAACAUGUUGCAUCAGAUUUCUUAUCUAUUGUAGAUUAUCAAUCAGAUUAGGUAACAGAAUAUGAAUCCGUUGUAAAUUAUCAAACAGAUUAAGUCAUCUAUUACGACAGAUUACUCAUCUAUUGUAAAUUAUCAAAUAGAUUGUAAUAUAUCGCAACAAAUUACUCAUAUGUUGUAAAUUAUCAAAUAGGCACUGCUAUCUGUUGUUGCUGACCCUAGAGAACUCACCCCUAGUCCAAGAUUAAUCGAUAGUUUACCCUAUGAGAACUCACCCGUAGUCCUAGAUUAUUCAAUUAAGGUAUUAGUACCCUAGUCCUAGAUUAAUCAACUAAGGUAUUAGUCUAACAUAUGAGGUAGUAAGAAUCGUUUCGGCUCAAGUGAUCGAUCGACGACUCUGGUCGGGAGAAACACAGUACCGUCUCAUUAUGCAAUUUCCAAAAGACUCAAUUGAAGUUGUAGUUGACCCUAUGAGAACUCACCUCUAGUCCUAGAUUAUUCAAUUAAGGUAUUAGUACCCUAGUCCUAAAUUAAUCAAUUAAGGUAUUAGUCUAACAUAUGAGGUAGUAAGAAUUGAUUCGGCGCAGAGUGAUCGAUCGACGACUUUGGUCGGGAGGAACACGGUACCAUCUCAUCAUGCAAUUAUCAAAAACUAAAUUAAAGUUGUAGCUGACCCUAUAAGAACUAAUAUUCAAUUAAGGUAUUAGUCUAACAUAUGAACUCAAUUGAAUUAUAUAUAAACAAAUGUUCAACCUGUUGCAAUAGAUGUCUUUUUUAUUGGAUUAAAUCAAACAGAUUAUGUAAUCUGUUGUAACAUAUUAUGCAUCUGUUGUAAACUAUCAAGUAGAUUACGUUAUUUAUUGUGACAGAUCACGAAUCUAUUGUAAACUAUCAAACAGUUUAGGUAUCUAUUACGACAGAUUACCCAUCUGUUGUAAAUUAUCAAAUAGAUUAAGUCAAUGUCGUAAUAGAUUACCCAUCUGUUGUAAAUUAUCAAAUAGGUGAUGUCAUCUAUUGUAGUUGACAUUAUGAGAACUCACCCCUAGUCCUAGAUUAAUCAAUUAAGGUGUUAGUUGAACAUAUGAGGUAGUAAGAAUCGGUUCAUCUCAGAGUGAUCGAUCGAUGACUCUUGUCGGGAGGAACGCAGUUCCGUCUCAUCAUGCAAUUGCCAAAAGACUCAAUUAAAGUUGUAGUUGACCCUAUAAGAACUCACCCUAGUCCCAGAUUAUUCAAUUAAGGUAUUAGUUGAACAUACGAGGUAGUAAGAAUUGGUUCAUCUCAGAGUGAUCGAUCGAUGACUCUUGUCGGGAAGAAUGCAGUAUCGUCUCAUCAUGCAAUUGCCAAAAGACUCAAUUGAAGUUGUAAUUGACCCUUUGAACUCAUUCAUCCAUCCAUAGUUCAACCUAGAUCAAUGUAGGUACUAUUAUUAAUCUUAACAUUAAGUUAAUGAGAACUCAUUUCAACUCAGAGUGAUUGAUCGACGACUCAGGUCAGAAUGAACGCAAUACUAACACCAUGCAAAUACAAUGACUCAAUUGGAUUUGUAGUUGACCCUGUGAGCUUAUUCAUUCAUCCCUCAUUCUACCUAGAUCGAUAUAGGUACUAUUAUUAAUCUUAACAUUAAGUUAAUGAGGAGCUCAUUCUUUCAUCCCUAGUUCCACCUAAAUCAAUUGCAAUAAAAUCUGUUGCAAUAAACGACUGAGUUAUUGUAGAAUUUCAAAUAGAUAACAAUAUCUGUUGCAACAGAUGACAUAUCUGAUUUAAUUAUCAAAUAGAUAUUUACAUCUGAUAUGACGGAUGACUGAGUUGUUGGAAAUUUUUAAACAGAUAUUGAUAUCUGUUAUAACAGAUGACAUUUCUGAUUUAGUUAUCAAAUGGACAUUUUCAUCUGUUGUCACAGAUGACUGAGCUAUUGGGAUUUUUCAAACAGAUAUUUAAAUUUGUUGCAACAGACGACAUAUCUGUUUGAAAUUUUUUUUUCUUUUAAUUUUAAAGCAAGCUACUGUCUAAGUAGAUAAAGUAGUAGUACUACUAAAGGCGGUAAAAAAUAUUUCUUGGAUAACUCAAAAAUCUCAUUGAGUAGUCUUGUCCUGUCUUUUCAAUGUCAUCCGUUUUCUUCCUCGUGCCCCUAAAAUUAUUUAUGAAUAUUAAUUAAUGAAUAUUGAAACCCCUAAUACUUCUUCCAUUUCAUAUUGACUUGGCACACCCAUUAAGAAAAUAUUAAUUAGGGGUUUAUUUUACUACCAAAUUAACCUUAUUAAUUAUGCUUUGAAAAUAUAAAUUUGAAUAAAUACACUUUUUUUAGUCAUUUAAUAUUAAGGGUAGUACGUUUAGAAAUUAGGAUUAUCUCAUCUCUCCUCUCCUCUCCUUCAGCCCUAAAUUUAUUUUAUUCGUCUCUCAUAUUUUCUCUUUCUAUCCUCUUUAGAGUUAUCACAGCCUUUUUUUCUCUUCUUUUUCUCAUAAAUUUUUGUUCGGAUCUAAACCGAUCUAUAUCCAUAUCUUAGAUUUCUCGACUGAAAUUGUUGUUUUAACCCCCUUUUGACAUUAACCCCCUUUUGACAUUAAGGUAUGAUAUGAUUCACUAUUGCUCUUUCAUUCUCGUCUUCUUCUUGCAAGUUAUUUACAUAUUUUUUUAUUUAAUUAUUAUUUUCACAUAUCAUAUUUAUUUAAAAAAUUUGAAGAAACUUUUAAUUGUUGAAUAAACGAAUCGAGAAUUUUUAUUACAAGAUGAGAAAAAAAGUCAUCUGUUGGGAGAAGUGUAUUUUUUUAUGUAUUUUGUUUGUUUCUUUGUUAUUGAUGUUGUUAUUGAUGUUGUUGGUGGGGUUGGCGUUGUUGGAAUUUGUGGUGUGGUGUUGUUGACAGUGGCGGAUUCAAGUUUUUUUAGACGGUAGGUGCUUCUUAGCUUAAAAAUAGUGGAGUCCAAACAAUCAACACAAGGAGUAAGGGAGAAAAAAAUAAAAGAAAGUUUAAAGUGAAUAAAGAGAGAAGAGUUGGUUACCAAAAUUAAAAAAACAUAUGUACUGAGUGGGAAUUGAACGCAAGACCAAAAGAAAUAAAUAGACUUAAGCACCCAUAAACAACAACUAGGAUAACCAAACAACUCUUACUAUGGGUGCUCACUAAUUAGAUUAUAUACGUUUUUUCUAAAUUUCCAUAUACAUAUAUAAAGUUCAAUACAAGUUUAGUCUGUGCUUGCGCACUCGGAGGACUCCAUAUGGGUCCGUCCCUAGUUGUUGAUGGCGUUGGAACAUAGGAUGUAUGUUUCUUUAUUGUUGAUGAUGAUGUUGGAACAAAUAUUGUUGUUUUCUUUGUUCUUGAUGUUUUUUAUUUGUUAUUUGUAGUUUAUGUUGUUGCUGAUGUUGCAACAGAUAGAGCAACUGUUGGAACAAAUCAAACCACCAGCAAUGCUGCUAUGUAUUCCAAUAUACUCCAUAUCUGUUGCAUCAGACUCCACAUCUGACACAACAGACUCUACAUCUGACGCAACAGACUCCUCAUCUGAUGCAAUAGACUCUACAUCUGUUGCAACAGAAGGAUAAUUUUCUUUUUGUGAUAUAAAUUUUUCCUUCUUCUUUUUAGAUAUAAAAGAAACUAGAAGUUGAUCAACUUUUUCUUGAUCAUUAAAAGAGGCUGCAGUAAAAAUAGGUUCGGAGGAAUAAGCUGCAUGCAGAUGGAACCACUUCAUAUGUGGGAGGUAUGUAUUACUGAUAAUGUUAUCAUCGAAACACACGUAGAGUACACUGAUUUUGUGAAUGAUGUUUUUACCGAUUAGUCAUAGAUCAUUCAAAUAAGAUAUUUACAAUUUUACAAUUAAGUUUGGUAGGUCCGAACUGAUAAGGCUGGGGAACCAUGAAUAUAGUUCUGAUACUUUGUUAAGAUUUAAUGUCAGAUGUUGCUCAUGUUUAUUUUUCAUGCCUUCUGUAGACUUCCACUGUGGCAAGCAUUUCUGGCGACGGUGUAAAAUUUUACAUGAUGGAUAUGUUGUCCUCUAUAUGGUAGAAGAAUGAUCAAUCUUUCCCCUCCUUGCUUAUCUUGUGCAUGAAAAUGUGAAGAGUGAAAGGCAAAACAUGAUGGUGUGAUUAAUACUGCUAAUGCAUUAACUGCUGACGUAAAGGAAUUAAUAUCUAACAGUAGUGUCAUUCGAUCAAAUAGGAUUUCAGUUUCAUUCACUCCAUUAGAGAUUAAGGCUAAGAGGAGAAAGAAAACAAUUUUCAAGGUAUUAUCAAGUAUCCGAAAAAAAAGUUCGAAUCUGAUAAAGGUGAGAAGAUAAAAAAGGGUGGGGAAUAGAAAGGAAAAACUGAAUGCUAGAUUUAGUUCAUCUUGUUUCGUUAUGUAGAGAUACUCCAUCUAAUUUUGAGUGCUUUUUCUUUUCAGGAUGGUGAGGAAGGUAGAAUCUCUCCAGUAUUAGCUAAUAUCGGAAACAAGACAUCUGAUAUUAUUGAACCACCAGAUUGCUUUGUGAAGUUUGAUAAUCUAGAAGAUGUCUUUGCUCGAGUUAGUCAAUAGAUUAAACGAUCUCAAUCACUUGGUUUUUCUGCUGAUCAAUCUUCUUUGUAGAAGACAAUAUAUCAACAAAACUGCUUCACACGGAGAAAACUGAUAUCGAUAGAUUACUGAUUAUGUCUUCUUAAGACUUGCUUCUACAAAAAAACUGUUCUGCAUUGAGUGUUGAACUAUCCAUAUAUGCUGUAACACAAGAUUUAUCAGUCGAAAGAGCAUUUUUCUUGGAAAAACUCAAAGAGAACCUUCCAUACUUCUCCUUGACCUUGCGUAGAGCUAAGAAGGACCAAGAAGAGUAUUAUAAGAAAGUUGCUAAGAAAGAGAGUGGUCCUCGUUGACAAACUCACAAAAGAUCAAGAGCUCUAUACUGAGCUUAACGACCACAAUGACAAAAUGAUUGAAUUGGAAAUGGUGGUGACUUGACUUAGUCAAACAAAAAGCCAUGAAUGUUCAUAUCCCUUAAUUAAAUAAAACUGGUGACUUUUCGAAUAUGUAAAUUAAAAUAAACCGGAUCUAAAUACAAUAUUUUAUCUUUUUAUUGUAUUUCAGAAAGAGACAGAUUAGUAAUCUGUUGCAAAAUAUCUUCCAUCUGUCAGAUAACUUACAAUACAAUAUAUGGACAAUCUGUUGCAAUAGAUGGAUCUAUCAGUUUGCUUUACAAUCAGUUGUCGCGUCUGUUGCACUUGCUAGUCAUCUGUUUGUUUAAUUUCAUCGAGAGCAAUAGAUUUUUCUAAACACUUCUUGGCCAAACUCAAUUUUUGCUCUUGGAUUGCUUCUCUUUUUUUCUUUGCAUCCUUCAAGCUGACCUCCAAAUUCAAUUUUUACCAUCAAUUCAAUAGCAAUAAAUUAAUUUGGUUGAAGGUUGCAAAAACAAAAAAAGAAUCAAUCCAAGGCAAAAAUUGAGUUUGGCCAAGAAGUGUGUAGAAAAAUCAAUUGCUCUCGAUGAAAUUGAAUAAACAGAUGACUAGCAAGUGCAACAGACGCCACAGCUGAUGGAAAAGCAAACUGAUAUAUCCAUCUGUUGCAACAGAUUGUCUAUAUGUUGUAUUAUAAGUUAUCUGACAGGUGAAAUAUAUUUUGCAACAGAUUACCAAUCUGUCUCUUUCCGAAAUACAAUGAAAAAAAUAAAAUAUUGUAUUUAGAUUCAUUUUUUAAAUUUACUUAUUCAAAAAGUCACCAGUUUUAUUUAAUUAAGGGAUAUGAAUAGUCGUGGCUUUUUGUUUGACUAAGUCCAGUCCCUUCCAAUUCAAUCAUUUUAUAAAUAGGUCCCUCCGGCCUCCUCUCGUUCCUCACUCACUCGUUCAUUCUACUAUACUUACAAUACUAAUAUGGCUGAUCCAGAUUCGUACAAGAAGUUCAUAUCGAGUCCUUGCAGGAACUUCAAAGGAAGUUUAAUGAACUCUAGAGGGAUUUGGCCGACUUCGGAGCAAGACUGAGGAGGGCCUAGUUGCUCUCGAAUAAAAAUUGUCAGGUUGACAAUAAUAAUAGUAAUAAUAAUAGUAAUAAUAAUAAUAAUAAUAAUUAGGUUAUGUUUUUUCUUUCUUUUAGCGUAUGUAUUUUCCUUUUUUGUAUCCGAUCUUCUUAUAAGGGAUUCAAAAAAAUCCAUGUAUAUGUUUGGUUUGGUUUUUGGUCAACUUUGAAUUUUUAAUUCUUAUUCAAUAUUUUAUUAUCAUUCUAUUUAUUCCCUAUUCUCAACAUGUCGACGGUUGGAGGUAGGGAUUGAGCACUUGUGGUAACAGAUGGUGGUGAAAGUCAUGAUGAGAAAUUCUCCUAAAAAUGGUUCGUUAACAAAAAUAAGGAACUAAAUGAUAUUAUAAUUGUAAAAGAAAGAUUAUUUAAUUUUAAAAAAGUUACAACAUUGGAUUAAUUUAAUUAAGAUAUAUGAUGAUAUGAUUUUUAAGAAAAAGGUUAAUGAAUAGUCAUGACUGUGACUUUUGUCCAAACACAUUUAACAAAUAAAAAUAAAAAAACGUUUCUAAUGCAUCAAAUUCCUCAUCUGUUGCGACUGAUGAAUCAGUUAGAAGAAAUAAAAAAAACUCCUUAAACAGAUGGUCGAUUUAUAGCAACAGAUGGUGUAUCUGUUGAAACAGAUGGGUUAUCUGAUGCAACAGAUGGGUUAUCUGAUGCAACAGAUAUACAAUCUGUUGCCAUAACUCAAUUAAUAAAAAUGGUUAUUAAAGAAAAGAAAUAGAACGGCUAUUGAAAACCAGGUGUAUUCGAUUUUUAAAUUGAGAAAAAGGUUAUUUAAAUUUAAUAAGCUGAAAAGGCAUUACUUGUCACAAUAAUAAUAAACUCACCAGCUUGAUUUAAUUAAGUUAUUUCUUUUCACAGAAAAGAAUAAGGAAAUAAAUGAUAAACACAAUUUAAACCGUAAAAAACUCACCAGAAAUAUUCUUGUUUUUAAAUCUUAUUUAUUAAUUUAUAUAAUUAAAAAGUCAAAAAAUUUGGAUGUCAUGAAGAUAAUUUAUUUUUUAAAAAAUAUAUAUAUACUAUAUGUUGCAACAGAUUUAUUAUCUGAUGCAACAGGUUAACUAUUUUUUUAUAACAGAUGAUAUAUCUGUUGUAACAGAUGAUUUAUUUAAUGCAACAGAUAUGUAAUUUGUUGUCCAACUCAGUGUAAAAAAAAUGGUUGAUGGAAAUAACUAAUUAUUUUAAUAAUUAUAAAGCUGAAAAGCCAUGACUUAUCACAAUAUUGCUUGAUUUAAUUAAGUCAUAACUUUUUACAGUAAUCAAGAAUAUCAUUAAUAAAUGGAGGUGAAUAGUUGUGCCUGUAAAUCUGCUUUAUUAAUUUAUAUAAUUAAAAAGUCAGAAAAUUUGGAUGUCAUGAAGAUAAUUUAUUUUUUAAAAAUAAAAAUAAAAAUAUAUAUAUAUAUUAUAUAUGUUGCAACAGAUAUAUUAUCUGAUGCAACAGGUUAUCUAUUUGUUGAAAAUGAUGAUAUACUUGUUGUAACAGAUGAUUUAUCUAAUGCAACAGAUAUAUUAUCUAUUGUUCAACUCAGUGUAAAAAAAAUAAUUCCUGGAAAGAACUAAUUAUUAUUAAUAAUAAAGCUGAAAAGUCAUGACUUAUCAUAAUAUUGAUUAAUUUAAUUAAGUCAUAACUUUUUACAGUAAUCAAGAAUGUCAUUAAUAAAUGAGAUGAACAGUCACGCCUUUUUAUUUUUGAAUCUAUUUUUUUAAUUUAUAUAAUAAUAAAAAAGUCACCAAAUUUGGAUUAAAAAGAAAGAUAUGAUGAUUAAAUAUAUAUUUUAUGUUGCAACAGAUAUAUUAUCUUAUACAACAGGUUAUCUAUUUGUUGCAACGGAUGAUAUAUCUAUUGUAAUAGAUGAAUUUUCUGAUGCAACAGAUAUAUAAUCUGUUGUCCAACUGAGUGUAAAUAAAAAAUAGUUCCUGAAAAGAACUAAUUAUUUUAAUAAUAAUAAAGUUGAAAAGUCAUGACUUAUCACAAUAUUUUUUAAUUUACUUAAGUCAUAACUUCUUACAGUAAUCAAGAAUGUCAUUAAUAAAUGAGGGUGAACAGUUGUGCCUUUAAAUCUGCUCUAUUAAUUUAUAUAAUUAAAAAGUCAAAAAAUUUGGAUAUCAUGAAGAUAAUUUAUUUUUUAAAAACAAUAUAUAUAUUAUAUGUUGCAACAGAUAUAUUAUCUNNNNNNNNNNNNNNNNNNNNNNNNNNNNNNNNNNNNNNNNNNNNNNNNNNNNNNNNNNNNNNNNNNNNNNNNNNNNNNNNNNNNNNNNNNNNNNNNNNNACUUAUCAUAAUAUUGAUUAAUUUAAUUAAGUCAUAACUUUUUACAGUAAUCAAGAAUGUCAUUAAUAAAUGGAGGUGAACAGUUCCGAUUUUUACCCUAACUCAUUCAAGUUCAAUCCUCUAUAACUAGGUCUCUCCUUACUCAGUCGUUCGUUCUACUACACUAUUUAUUCCUUGCUCUUGUUACACCUUCAACUUUUUCUCUUCAAGGACUUGAUAGCUUUUUCCUGUCUCUGGUAAGCUUUUUUUGUGUGUGUAAAUAUUCAUUGUAUAUUACAUUACAUUCGAAUUCUUUCUUUUCUUUACUUUUGUUUUUACGUGUGUUUUGUCAACUUAUGCAUUUUCUAGAUAUGGUUGUUCCUGUGUGGGAUGUUGCUAUUUUACGAGACGCCAUGCGAGAACUGCAGAAGGAGGUUCAUGACCUGCAUUGGGAGUUGGCCACCGUCAGAGUAGAUGCUGCGAGAGAUCUGCAGGCUGAGGAGGGCGCUGCUGCUGCCCAUUGAAGAUUGGCCAGCUGGCCAUACAAAUAAUAAUGAUGAUAAUAAUGAUGAUAAUAAUAAUUAAGCUUUUUUUUCUUUUAUCUAUGUAUUUUUUUGUUUGUUUUAUAAAAAAUUAUGUUUGAUGCACUUGACUUUUUAUUUCUUAUUUAAUUUUUGUGUUGUCUAUUUCUAUUUCUUAACGAAUGACAUGUCUACAAUUAAGGAAUAAUUUGAUUCCAGUAUCAAUAGCAAGAACAUAUGAGUUAUCUGUUAGGUUUGUGUGUGAUAGGAGCUAUAUUUUAUUGUUCGAAACAUAUUAGUAAUCUAAUAAAAUAAAUUAUUUAUCUGUUGAAACAGAUUAGUAAUCUGGUGCAACAGAAUACCCAUCUAUUUGAUUCAUAUUACGGGCACCUAGAACUCAUAAACAUGAAUCCAACAUGAGUCUACUAUUAUAACAGAACAUUUAUCUGGUGCCGAAGAUAAUGGAUCUAUUUAAACAGAUUGCUCUUGUACGGCAUUCAUGUUCGCGUGCAAGCUAUUGUUGAAAAAACAACACAUUAGCAGUUACCCAGAUUCAACUAAAAAGCAUAAUCUGACUUACCAAAGUCUCCUCUCAUGUAAAUUUCAAAGUUGAAAUUGAUUUACGAACUAAAAUUUGACAUAAAAAUUUGGUCAAAGAGCAGUAAUUGGGGUAACAACAACAACAACAACAAUAAUGGUCAACAAGAAGAAUAUAAAGAUGAUAAUGAAGUUUAAGAAGAUGAUAAUGAAUCAGAAGAUGAUGAAUAAAGUAGUAGCAACAAUAAACAACAAAUAUCGUGAAGAGAGAGAAAAUAACAACAGAUGAGGAGAGAAAAAAAGGCACAUUUUUUUCCCUUCGUUCUUCGUUAUAUAUUAACUAACACUUGAAUCAAAGUGUAAAUUUAAAAACUUGUAGGUUAUUUUGAAAUUUUUUGAACUUUCUUACACCAUAAUUAAGUAAUUGUCACCUCUACUUAAUUAGUAAGACUUAUGUCACCUACACCUCAUUUUAAGUCUCUUUUGUCACCUGUGGCCCAAACCCCCAACAUACCUUAACAAUUGUCAAAGAAAUUUGUUGAGCAUAACUUAAAAUCUAAAACUUAAUUUUUUUGAUUUCUCAAAACAAUUGGCUAGUGCCAAGUAACUUAAUUUUAUUUCUAUAGACAGAUAUUUUUAUGUGAUUUUAUCUAUUAAAUUCAUAAUUAAUUAAUAUAUUUAUUAUAAACAUAUGUACUCUCCAUGCUCAUAAGUGAAAGACUAAACUUAUAUGUUGCACAUUUUUUUCAAGAUACUUGUUUUUUAUGAGGUUUGCUUUUAAAAAUUCUUAUUUCUUAUGGUAAUUUGACACAUUUUCUUACCUAGUGGAUAUAUUUGCUAUUUUUAAAAAAAAAUCUUUACACAAUUAUAAAUUCUUAAUUUUAAUUAAAAAAAUUAAAUUUACAUCAAAUUAUAGAAGAAAUAAUCUUAAUUUAUCAAUAAACGCCGACUUGAUAAAAAUUCACAAUAAAAAUUGAUUUUUUUUAUGAAUUAAAAUUUAUUUAUAUUUAGAAAAAAUUUGACGAACAAUGAUUAAAAAAUAUCGUUUAUUUGACUCUAGUCUUGGAUGUGGUAUAUAAAUAUUAACCUGGUAAAUGUAACAACGGUAAAAGAGUUAAACAAAAAAAUUAUAAAAAGUGAAGAAUAUGAUGAACAUAACGAUCAAUAACAAAAAAAAAAAAUUAAAAUUAUAUAUCAAUAUAGGAGUAUAUAAACGAAAGGUUAAGGAGAUAAAAUUUUAUUUCAAUUCAACUAUUUUUAAAAUUGAAAUUUAAUAUCAGAAUAAAUAUUUACUUACUUGAAUUCAGAAGUGGAUAUAGUAGAAAAAACUGCAAUAUGAUUAUCACUAAUCUACACACAUAUAAGAAAAAUACUAAAACAAAAAAAAAAAGAUGAAAACGCAGUCAAUGAAGCUAAUGAUUAAUAACAAAAGAAGAGAAAGAAGCUUAGAUAACCUAUUAUUGUAGGAGUAUAUAUAAGAGAGAUUAAGAAGAUAGAAUUUCAUUCCAUCUCAAAUUCUUUUAAAUUCAAACUUAAAUAUCAUAUUAAUUUGCUAUCAAAUGAUUUAGUUGUUACUCUGUUACUGUUUCUUAUCCAUACUUUUUAAAAAAAAUAAUAUAUAUUUAUUUUAUAAUUCAUAUUUGAGUGAGAUAAAAUAUUUGAAAUUGCUAUUUAAAUUUUACCUUGAUUAUACACCUAUAAAAGUAAGAAAUUCUUAGAACAUAAGUAAUUCAUUUUUUUAUAAAGAAAAAAAAUAAUUCUGUAAAUUACUUUUAAAUACAAAUAAUCUCUUUUAAUUCAUUGUACUGUAAUUUUCAAAAUUAUCGAUCUCUCGAAUUUUAAUCAACCACAAUCAGUUUUGUUAGGAUGGAUAUAUACACAAACAGUAAAAUUUACAACAUAUAUUUAAAGUACAAUUUAUUAAAUAUUAAAUUCAAGAUAUUUUUAUUAUUUUAUCCACUACACCACACAAUUUAAUAUUUAUAAGAAAUAUUAUAUGGAUUUUUUAAUUACUAUCACUAUUGUUAUUAUUAUAUUAUUAUUAUUAUUAUUACUAUUUAAACUAUUGUUCUUACUAUUGUUGUUGUUAAUAAUAUGUUGUUGCUCCUAAUGCGAAUACUAAUGUUGUUAUUAAUUAUUAUUAUUAUUAUUGCUACUACUACUGCUGUUGCGCUUUCUUUUAAAAAUUAAAAGUACUACAACUUGUGUACUACUAUUACUAUUAUUAUUUGUAUUUGUAUUAAAUUUAUUUUAUCUUAUUUAAUAUUUGAAUAUUUUUAAGAGAUUGAAAGGGAUAAUUUUAAGAAUAAUAAAAGUUCAUUUAGAACUCUUCAAUAUUAGGUUUCUAAUUUUAACUUUAUGGUAUUUUUUUUAAAAUCAUAAUAUUUUUAAAGUUAAAUAUCUAUAAUAUUUUAAUUCAACUUUUUAUUAAAAUAUUAUUAACUCAUUAAUUUAUUAAAAGAGAAUUAAUUUGUUAUUCUUUCUUAUCCUUUUUUUCAAAGAUAAUGUAUAUUUACCUAAUAUUUAUAUAAUUUGAAAUCAAUGAGACUAUUACUAUUAUUUCUAUUGCUACUUCUAAUUUAAAUUUAGAUUUCUAAUCUUUAUCUUAUAAUUAUAAUACAACUAGUGAAGUUAGCCGCGCUUCGCACGAUCAUGAAAUUGUCCGUACCUCAUGUGGUCAUGAAAGAUUUCGUUAAUUUAUGACUUAAUUUUUUUAACAUCUAAUUAAAUUUAACAGUUAAACAUAUUUAAAGUCUUUUUUACAUGAAAACAUUAAGGUGCUUUCAUAUAAAAUGUUUUAAUCUCUUUUGGAUAGUUAAACACAAUAAUUGUUGUGCCUUAACUUUUCAACUGUUACAAUAUUAAUUCAAGAAAGAAGUUAUCAUAGAGAUGGGGGAGAAGGAAGAGUCACGUAUUCAUUAAAUUUAUCUUUUUUGUGACAUUCAAAAUCUUUUUUUAGUUUUCUUUCAUAAGAUAAAAUACACAUAUAUCUUUAAUAUUGAAAAUAGAUCUUGAAUAUUCAGAUUUCUUUAGCAAUAAUAGAAAUUCGAUAAAUAUAUUUUUGUUUAAUAUCAUGAUUUGAGAUUGAAUUUGAUAGUAAUCUCAAUCAAAGCAGUGAAUGAACAACCAAAAAAAAAUCAAAAGAAUUGAGAACUAUCAAUUCAACUUUUGCAAUUUUAAAGGGGAGAAAGAUGGAUUAUGAAGAAAAAGACAAUUAGUAUUACCGCUUCUCAUUAUUUUAAUCCAAUAUUUGCAACUUUAAUAAACCAUACUAUUUUUAUAUUCUAUAACUGUAACUUAUGUUUUUAUUAGUCCAGUUAUCACAACAAUUAUAGUUGUAACCUAAGCUUUCAUUAGCGGAAUUGCCACAAGUCACAACGGUUAAAAUAUUUUUUACUUAAUUAUAUGUGUUAAACUAGUGUAUUUUUUAAUUCAGUUAGUUAGUAGAAUAUUAUAUUAUUAUUAUCUAGUAAAUUGAAGGAAAAUAUUCAAAAAAAAAAGAUCUUUUAGGCGAUAAAGAAAUGCUACCUCACCUUAUUUAUAGAUGUUUAUAAGUAUUUAACUUUAAUUUGUUAAUAUUUUCAUAACUUUCAUUUUAUUUAAAAUCUAAAUCUACAAAAAAUUUAAAAAGAAACCAACAAAAAUCAGAAAAAAUACAAUAUUGGACUCGUUUGUCACAAGUUCAUAAAAUCAAUUGGUAGAAAUAUUUCUUGCCUCUCUCUUUCUUUUACCUUACUUGCCUCUCAUUUUCUUUUAACUUAAAUACAUGAUGAUAGGAAAUUAUUGUUAAGAUGAUUAUUAUUAUUAUGAUUAUAGAAAAUUAUUAUUAAAGAGAUCAAUCUCUUUUAUUUUGCCAAAUAAUACGGUAUUACAUUUUCUGCAUUUCAAAAAUUCAUUGAUAAUGAAGUUGCUAAGGUAAAUGUUGUAGAAAUUAAUAAUUUGAUUUCUCAAAAUAAUUAUUUGAGCUUAUAUGUGAAAGUCUUAGGAGAACAUAUUUCCUCUCUUGAUAAGAAACUCGAUGAAUUAAUUGAUUUGAUAAAAAAAUUGAGUAUUAGUUCAAAAUCUACUGGUAAUGCUUCUUCUUUCAAGACAGGAGAGUUGACAACUAAAAUCGUUAUUCAAAGACCCCCUGAUAUUGAGGGAUUUCAACUUAAAUCACAUUUGCAUGAUUUAGAACAACUUCUUGAUAAAAAGCUUUCUGGUUUAAAUAUUAGACCUAUUGAUUUGUCGAAUGCCUUUGCUGAUAGUUUAGACACCACUCCUGAUAUGAAAAAUCAGACUAAAUCAGAGCUUAAUAAGAUUCGAGGAAUAAUUAGAAAACAAUCUGGUAAGAAUCACAGAUAUGCCAAUUCACCCCGCAUGCGAACUUAUUACUAUCCGCGACCCACUCCUCAAGAUGUUCUGAUAGAGGAAAGGGAUUAUUUGGGAGAUUAUUUGGCUCAAGAUAAAAGAGAUUUAAUCUUUAAUGUUAUAGCUACUACUCAAGGGACUGAUAAUCUAGGAAGAACCCUCCCUGCAAAUUGGGAAGAUGUUGUUUAUACGCUCAUUCUUACAAUUUUAGAAUACUUUAAUAGUAAAUUUACCAACCAGUAUGAAAAUAUUCAUACUCUCUUAAAUGGGCGUAGAUAUAAGACUCUAGGAUAAUUUAGGUGGUAUAAAGACACCUUUCUAAGUAAGGUUAUGAAAUUACCCGAAAAUAGUUAUGAACAUUGGAAGGCCAAGUUUAUAGAUGGACUUCCACCUUUAUUUGCCGAAAGAGUUAGAACAGCUCUUAGAGGCUCCUAUGGUGAAGUUCCUUGGGGAAAUUAUACCUAUGGUCAUUUGAUAGCAGCUUGUACAGAAGAAGGAUUAAACCUGUGUAAUGAGUUAACAUUAACUAGAAAAAUCAAGCUUGAUAAGCUUAGAGAAAAAUCUCAGACACGAGAUUUCUGUACCCAUUUUGGUAGAUCUAAACCAGCUUCCACUUCUAGGAAUAAAAAAAAUAGAUAUUCCAAAAAUGAUCAGCCUUAUAAAAAAAGAGAUCUAGAUACAGGUCUAAAGAAGAACGUGAAACUAGAAAAACCUAUAGGAAAUUUACUAGAUUUACCAAAAAUAGGUCUAAGCGAGAUCUUGCUAAGAUUAAAUGUUAUAGAUGUGGUAAUUUUGGGCAUAUUUCUCCAAAUUGUAAGCUCCAAAAGCCUAAAUCUUUAGGUCUUGCUAAUGAUGUGCAUUAUCAAGUUUAUCAUUUAUUAUACACCUCAGGUUCGGAAUAUGAUUAUAAUACUGAAUCAAAAUCAGAAAAUGAAUUAGAUAAUGAUAAUGUUAAUAAUUGUUUCAAUUGCCAAGGUGAUACCUGCACUUGUGACGAUGUAUUUUAUAAUUUGCAAUCCCAAUUUGAAGAUUUAAAUGUUCAAACCAUUACUUCUAAAAAUGUGUUAGAACUUUUGAAAGAAGUUUCGGAUGAAAAACUACGUGAAAAGGUUAUUAAUUUGUCUACUAGUUCAAAACCUAGUACUUCUAAACAUGUUGAUAGCAAUACCGUUACUCCUAAAAUUGAUGAUAGCAAUAAUUUUAUGCCUUAUUCUUUAGCAGAAGUUAAUAGACGACUUGCUAUGAGUUAUACUCCUGGUAAAGAUACUUCUUUUGAUGAUUUAAAAAUUGAAAUUGAAAACUUGAAAAAGGAGAUUAAAUCUCUUAAACAAAAUCAAAUGAUUUGUGAUCACAGAAUUUUGCAAAUCGAGAAAGAUAUUUCUCACACUAAAAAUUCUAAAGGGAAAGAAAAGAUUUCUGAAGAAAAUGAUAAUAUUGAUGAUAUUCAAAAUUCCCUUGACUUGAAAAAUGAUUAUUUUUUAGAUAUGAUGCAAAUUGUUACUGCCCAUAAAUGAUAUAUUAAAUGUACUAUUUUGAUUAAUAAUCAUUUCUCUGUCACUAAUAUUGCUAUGAUUGACAGUGACGCAGAUGUUAGUUGCAUACAAAAAGGAUUAAUUCCCAUAAGAUAUUUUAAAAAAACUACUCAUAUAGUUAAAUCGACAUCUGGACAUGCUUUUGAUAUAGAGUAUAAAUUCCCUAAUACUCAUAUUUGCUAAAAUAAAGUGUGCAUUCCAUAUUUUUUCUUUUUGGUUAAAAUCAGUUAUACCCUCCAAUUAUACUUGGAACUCCUUUUAUAAAUAUUGUUUAUCCUUAUACUCAUAUUGAUGCAAAAGAAUUUAUUGCUACUUACAAGAAUAAAGAGAUAUCUUAUUCUUUUAUUACAGAUCCGGUAACUAGGGAUAUGAAUGAUUUAAUUGAUAUGAAGCAAAGACAUGUUAAUUUUUUACAGCUUGAAUUACUUAGAAUGAAUAUUUGUGAUACAAUGAAAUCUACUAAGGUAUAGGAAAAAAUUAAAUUAAUUUUCGAGCAAAUGGUUGUUGAUAUUUGUGCUGAUCACCCCAGUGCUUUUUGGAAUCGCAAAAAGCAUAUUGUUACUCUUCCUUAUGAUGAUAAUUUCUGUUAGUAUAAGAUCCCAACAAAAUCGCGACCUUGUCAAAUGAAUUCUGAAUUAGUUGAAUUCUGCAAAAAUGAGAUUGAUAAUCUGUUACAAAAGGGUUUGAUAAAACCUUCAAAAUCUCCUUGGUCAUGUACUGCUUUUUAUGUUAAUAACGCAGCAGAAAAGGAACGUGGUAUUCCCAGGUUGGUAAUAAAUUACAAACCUCUGAAUAAAUAUUUAAAAUGAAUUAGGUAACCUAUUCCAAAUAAAAAAGAUUUAUUAUCCUGGUUAUACGAUGCCAAUAUAUUUUCUAAAUUUGAUUUAAAAUCUGAAUAUUGGCAAAUUCAAAUUUUCAAAGAGCAUACUUAUAGAACUGCUUUUAAUGUUCCUUUUGGGAAAUAUAAAUGGAAUGUCAUGCCUUUUGGUUUAAAAAAUACCCCAUCAAAAUUUCAGAAAAUUAUGAAUGAUAUAUUUAAUCCUUAUAUGGAUUUCAUCAUCGUUUAUAUUGAUGACAUUCUUGUGUUUUCUAAAAUAUUUGAAUUACAUAUCAAGCAUCUUGAUAUUUUUAAGAAAAUUGUGAUAUAGAAUGGUUUGGUGAUAUCUAAACCAAAAAUGAGUCUAUUUCAAACAAAUGAUAGAUUCUUAGGACAUAAUAUUUGUCAAGGGAAGAUUACUCUUAUCCAAAGAUCCAUUGAUUUUGCUUCUAAAAUUCCUGAUGUUAUAACUGACUGGACUCAAUUGUAGAGAUUUUUGGGAAGCCUGAAUUAUAUUUCCCCCUUUUAUUAGAAUUUAUCUCGCGAUUUAGCCCCAUUAUACGAUAGGCUAAAAAAAUAUUAUAAAGGCUCUUGGACCGAUAAUCUCACCAAUCUUGUUAAACAUAUUAAACAACGUGUUGAAUCUUUACCCUGUUUAACUUUAGCCAAUCCUACUUGGCAAAAAAUUAUAGAGAUUGAUGCGUCGAAUAUUAGUUAUGGAGGAAUACUGAAACAAGUUAAUCCCCAUGAUAAAACUAAAUGCUUAAUAUGAUUUCAUUCAGGUAAAUGGACUGAUAGUCAUAAAAAAUAUGUUGUUGUAGCUCAUGAAAUGCUAACCAUUGUUAAAUGUAUUCUGAAAUUUCAAGAUGAUCUUUAUAAUCAAAAGUUUUUAAUAAAAACUGAUGCUCAAUCUGUAAAAUAUAUGUUUGAUUAAGAUUUUAAACAUGAUGUUUCAAAAUUAAUAUUUGCAAGGUGGUAAGCUCAAUUAGCCCUUUUUGAUUUUGAAAUUCAAUAUAAAAAAGGAAUUGAUAAUUCUCUCCCUGAUUUCUUAUCUAGGGAAUAUCUAAAUUAAAAAUAAAUUUUUAUACAUCUUUUCUUCCUAAAAAAACUUUGAUCACCAUUUUAAAGGUGAUUCCAUUAUACAAAGACAUUCAAAACCUCAUAAUUGAUAAAAUCAUCCAUGAUAUGAUUAAAGAAGAAUUUUUUGUCUUCAAUUAUGAAGAAAUUAGAGAUAUUGAUUGGUAUGAUUAGGUAAUUUCUGAUUAAUUAUCCUCUUUUCAGUAUGGCUACUGACCCACCAUGGCAUAUAGCCAUAGGAAAAGGACAAGGUAGAUCAGGAGGAAGAUCAGCCUCCGGAGGAAAGGAAAGAUCAUCCCCAAUAAUCAGAUCAUAUUCAGGAUCAUCAUACGGAUCCUCGUCCAAUUCCUCAGUUAUACAAAUGGGAAAUAGGAGUUUUAUAAACUCCAAAGUACCGCAAACAGGCGAAUCUUCAUCAUCACAGUCGAUCCAUCUGGAUGAUAUUCCAGAAGACAGCCCAUUAUACGAGCAAUUACAAGCCUAUCUGGCAGCACAAAAGAGUGAUACGUUUGCUUCGAUUGCGAAGGAAAAGCACAAUGAUGAUAUCAAGUCCUAUGAACAAAUUAAAAAUAAAGAAAUGAUAUUUUCUAUCGAAAACUCUGAGAUUCAGAGGCAAAAUAGACCGUGGGAUAUACUCCACAAAUAUUUGAUAAAUAAUUUAUAUUUUUCGGGUAAGUCAUACAAAAGCCACACUUAUUAUGAAACAAUUCUCAUUACCACAGAGAGUGCAGAAUUUGAACAUUUCUCUGGGUACAAUAGUGAAGAUAACAUUUAUAACUUCUCUAAAAUUGUUAUCAAACGGACCAUAUCAAUAGAAGAUUGGGGAGUGACCUCAAUGACUGAGAAACAGAUAUUGCUUAAAAGUUCCAAGAUCAAUUUCACUUAUUGGGACUACACUGAAACUUUCUCUAAAGCUCUUUAUUAUAAUAACGACAGACAUAAGCAUACUUGGUUUAUAAAAAUAUACACAAAGAUAUUUGCAGAACCUAUCCCUAACUAGUUUAUAGAUUGGUGGUCUUAUCAUGGUCCGACCAUCCAGAUCCUGAUCCAUUCCUCAAGUUAUACAAAGAAUAGAUCAAAGUAUCCCGCAUCUGAAUGAAUUAUAUCAUGCAGAUCAUAUCUGUAAUUUAGAUAAAAUUGACCAAAUGUACUUCUUUAUUGGAUUUUCUAUUUCCUGGAUUCAUAAAUGGACUCCAGAACUAGGAUUCACUAAAGAACAAAUCCCUAGUUUAUAUAGGGUAUUUUAUAAUAAUUUGUGGGAUAAAAUGAUGUGCAAUGAUCCCAAAAUAAAAAUUUUGUAUGGACAAGAACUCCUGGAUACUAUUAGAAAGACGAUUCAGGAAUAUUCUAUAGCCCCCCAAACAGAUAUUAUCGUGGAUAAAUCAUUAAAGCAUAUUGCUAGAAGAAUCUCUGUCCAUGACGGAGAUAAGAUCGAGAUGAUUGAAAAAUAUUUAGAAAAAGUUUGAAGAAAUCUGAUGAAAUCAGUUGAUAAUCAUGAUAAGUCAGAUACUUUCAUGAAGAGUAUAACCAGCGAUAAUAUCGCCAUGAAAAAGUUCAGGAUUCUCAGCCUGUUUCUUCAGAUAAACCACUAUCUGAUGAAGCCAUUACAAGAAUUGAAGAAUUUCUAAGAAAAUUAAAAGGAAAAAAUAAAGUGUAAUACACACAGUAUAUUUACUAUGCAUGGGACCCAGAUGUGAGACCCUUAGUACUGUUCUUACACAGUAGAUCCAUUGUACAUAGGACCCAUAUGUGGGACCAAUAAUACUAUUUGUAGAUACAUUUUUUCCUAUAAAUAGAUGCCUCCAUUUGUUAGGGAAGGCAGAAAUUUUCAUCUUUUUAUCUUCUCUUUUUUAUUUCUCUCUCUAGCUUAGAGUGCUCUCUCUUCUCUCUUGUAAAAUACUCUAAAGUGUGGAAUAAAAGCUUGUCGUUAUUACUAUUCAGGCCUUGCAUCCGACUAUUAAAGGUAUUUUAUUUUAUUUGUAAUUAUUUACUCUCUCUCUUUCUUUUUCCAGCCGUGACUAUGUCCGGCUAGAUAAUUUUCAUAUCUAUGCUAGAGAUCUAAUUUCUUUUGUAUAAUAACCAUGAAAGAUCCAGUCUCUAUCAAAAUAUAAAAGAAUUUUUCUAUAGUUUCUUGGCUUGGUUUCGAGAUGGUGGUACAGUCGAAGUUAGUACUACUUUUGUUGACUUUGUCUUAGUGACUACGUCUAGCAAGCCAUGACUUUUAAGCCCGUUAAAGAUGAGAAAAGAGGUGCCUUUUUUCACGGUUAGAAUCGCUAGACACAUGGGCUCAACUAAAGUAUGUAUUAACUUCUGACAGGCCCCUUGAGUAGUAGCUAUAGCAUUAAAGAUUGACUCUCUUUUCCGUUUAGUCAAAUAAUUGUCCCACCAGCCACGAAGUUGGCCAGUCAAACCAGCAACUAUUAUUUUACAAAUAAAUUUAUCUGUUCUAUUAUUUACAUUACCAGUGGCUUUGCACACCAUUGAAUAUAUCAUCAUCCGGUGUAUGAGUAUCGUUAAUUAUCUCUCAGUUAAGCCAUAAAAAUUCUAUUCAUAAAUAUCAUCUCCGCUAUAAGACGUAUUAGUCUGAUUCCAAUCCCUUUCCUCUAUCAGAACAUCUUGAGGAGUGAGUCGUAGAUAGUAAUAAGUUUGCAUGCGGGGUGAAUUGGCAUAUCUGUGAUUCUUACCCGAUUGUUUUCUAAUUAUUGCCCGAAGCUUAUUAAGCUCUAAUUUAAUCUGAUUUUUCAAAUCAGGAGUGGUGUCUAAGCUAUCAGCAAAGGCAUUCGACAAAUCAAUGGGUCUAAUAUUUAAACCAGAAAGUUUUUUAUCAAGAAAUUGUUCUAAAUCAUGCAAAGGUAAUUCAAGUUGAAAUCCCUCAAUAUCAGGGGGUCUUUGGAUAUCGAUUUUAGUUGUCAACUCUCCUGUAUCGAAAGAAGAAGCAUUACCAGUAGAGUUUGAACUAAUACUCAGUUUUUUUUAUCAAAUCAAUUAAUUCAUCGAGUUUCUUAUCAAGAGAGGAAAUAUGUUCUCCUAAGACUUUCACAUAUAAGCUCAAAUAAUUAUUUUGAGAAAUCAACUUAUUAAUUUCUGCAACAGUUACCUUAGCAACUUCAUUAUCAAUAAAUUUUUGAAAUGCAGAAAAUGUAAUCCCCGUAUUAUUAGGCAAAAUAAAAGGAGCUUGAGGAGGGUAAACAGUUUUAACAAUGUUACCACUAUUAUCCUGAUAUGAUCUUUCAAGCACCUUAACAUAUAAUGGCAAUUAUGCGGUUAUAAACCUUGGUACAAAACAUAUAAUUUGAUUAUGUAAUGCAUAUGUUCCAUAAAAUUCUUGAAAAAUAUUAUUCAUCUCAUCAGGACUAUAAGCCUCAAAAAACCAAGUUCGAAACUGGUUUCAUUUUUUAUUAAAAAUUCCUUUUUAAUAUAAUUCCUUGCCUGGGAGCCAGGACUAAAAUUAAUUUGGUAUGAAAUCAUUAAAUAUCACUCAGAUCAAAGUUCAUUUUCGAAGCAGUAGUAAUAUCUCUAUCAGAAAUAUUGUCAUUAUCUUGAACAAUAUUUGUUCAAAGAUUGACUUUAACUUUCUCUACAUAUCUUGUAGAAGCUGAGUCAAUUGUGUGCAACGAAGAUGCACGAUUUCUAGCUGGACCAUAUGAUGGUUCUACAGGAGAAAUAUGAUGCAUAACAGGUAAUAAUUUAGGAGUGGAAAAUGAAUUUUUGUUAUAAAUAGUAGAUCUUUCAUCGAAUUGAAUACAAAUCCUACCAUCCGGAUUUUGAGUUACAUGUGAUAAUUCAUUAUUAGUUAAAUCAUCAGUGACUUAAUUCGGAGAUAUAACUGAACUUAAGGUCCAAGUAGUGGGAAAAUCAAUCUUAUCCCAUUUAAUAGGUCUCCUUGUGGUGACUUUAGACCUUGCAAAGUUAGUCGCGACUAAUAUAGUACGAUCCGAUGUAUCAUAUAACCUACAUUGAGGAUUUAAAGCAGUUAAUAAUCUAUAAUAAAUUCUCUAGGACAGACAAAUAAGUUCAGAUCCAGGCGCAUAAUUAUAAUCGACAUUUUUAUAUUUAAUGUCAAAGCAUCAAGAAUAUUUGCAUCAGUCAAAGAUAAUUAUAAAUUUGGCUAAGUAUUAAAAUAAACUAGACCAUAGGCCACAGUGGAUUCAAUCGAACUCAUUAAAGACCGUCUGAAAUUCAGAUUUCUAGCAUAUCUAAGGGCUGCUAGAAAUAUUUUUGGUAACCCUUUAAGAGUUAAAGGUUUAAAAUCAAUUUGAACCAUUCCAAUAUGCAUGAACUUAUAAUGAUUUUAAUAUAAAUCAAUAUCACCUUUAUUUAAUAAAUGAAUCGUCUGUUCUGAUGAAUUUAAUGCCAAAAACUGUUCAGUCGUCUUUAUAAUCUAUUUAGAAAGAACUUUAUCAAACCUACCAUAAUCAUAAAUGAUUUUAAUAUCAACUUUUGGAAUAAUCCACUUGUUUAACAAGUCAAGAUUUUGAGGUAUAUCUACCUCUUCAAGUCGAGUACUCUUAGUACUCACAUCUCUUAUUUCCAUGACGAGGAAAAUUCAUAUCUAUGUUGAAUACUUCAGAUCUAUUACACAAUUACCAUGAAAGGUCCUAGGCUUUGAUACCAGCCUACAGGAUCUGAGGGCUGGCGGUAAUCCGCGCAGCCAUCCAGACCUAUAAGUUAAUACACUAUUAAACGAACCGAAAUAUAUAAGAAUUUCAUAUAGCGUAUUGACUAUAUGGAAGAUCAAAUCUUUUUACGAAUUCUCUCUUUGAAUAUACCACCAUCAAACUUUCUUCUUCAUCUUGGUGAACUUGUGUAUGGCUCUCACGACACAAGAAGAAAUUUUGAAUAAUAUGUCUAUGAUCUUCAUUAUUAUAGUCAUAUUCUCAAAUUACAUUUUCAGUGUCCCUUCAUUUGAUUAUUGAACACAUGAUUGAUGAAACAAAGGGAAAAAAAUUAAAAAUAGAAAAAAGAUAUAUACUAAUAAAAAAAAAGAAGGAGAAAUGAAAAUGAACAUCCAACAACUCUAUAGAUUAUUGUUAUUUAUAGAUUGAUCAAGCCACAAGAAUAGGAUGAAAGAAGUUUAAAAGACAUGUUAUUAAGUAGAGAAUACAAGUAGAUAUUGAUUUUUUAUAACUCAUGAGAUAUAAUUAGGUAUAGUAAAUAUGAUAUAAUUUUUAAAUUAAUAAAUAACUUAAUUAAUAAAAAAUAAAGUGAAAUUUUUAAAAAAAGAGUUAAUAGAUAAAUAUGAAUGGAGGUCAUAGAGAAGUGUCACGUCACCUUAUCUAUGACUCUCCUUUAUAUAUGUGUGUGUGUGUGUGUGUGUGUGUAUAUACUAGUUUAGGUGUACGCUCGUUGCGCGUAUACCUCACCUUAAAUAGGAUUGGUUAGACAACAACUAAAGUCCAAUUAGAACUCUAAGUGUGAUAAUUAACUACUUCUAAUAUGUAAUUAUAUAUAAAAAUUAUUUUUAACUAAAAAAUUAAUAAUUUAUUACUCUUAAUUUUCUAUAUUGUUUUAGAAUUAACAAUUUUUUCUUAGUUUUCUUUUCCUUUCUUUCUACAUUUUCUUUCCUUUAUUUUUUAUUUUAUUUGUUUUUCUUUCUUUCUUUUAUUUGUUUGUUAAAAAACAUUUUUUAUACAAAUUAAUUGAUAAAUUAAAUAUAUAUAAAACCAACAUGGUUUGUGGUGCAGUAGUGGGACUUCUCCACCCUUAACCAGAAGUCUCGGGUUUGAGCUUAGGAUAUGAAAAAUUUUUUGUUGGGAGUGCUACCCUCAUAAUGGGCCAUGCAACGCGCGAUCCGGAUUAGUCGGGGCUUCAAUGCAGGCACCGAACACUGUUUGAGAAAUUGAAAAAAAAAACUUAAAUAUAUAAAGAAAUUACAAGUAGACCAAUAAGAUCGGGACUGCAAACUUGCUAACAAAUUAACUAAAAAAAAGGCUAUAUCAGGCUUUGUAGUAUUUGCAAGAUACAUUAGUGCAUCAAUUGCACUAAGAUAUGGUACUUUAUAACCAAGGAGUUCCUCAUUCUUUUCUUGAGGUUGGAAUGGAUCCUUAUUCAAUUUUUGCAUGUUUCUCAUUUAAGCAAAUACUCUAUUGCUUUUGAAAACUCUCCAAGAGUUUCAAUGAUACUCAAAUCAUCAAAUUAUAUCUUAUGAUGAUAAUAAAAAGCUUUCCAGAAACUUUAUAUGCUUCAGGCAUUUUGAAUCCUUUAGGGAUUUUCAUAUGGAUGUUUGUCAAGUAACAAUAUCCAACAUGUCGAGUGUGACAUCUUCAAGUAUCUGGACUGCAAAUCAAAUAAGUUUUACGCUUACCAAAAUGCAUCCUUUCAGGUCACUUGAUAAAUAUUUCUACGUCAGCAUGCUUAAAUUAACGUAUAAUUUAGAUCCUCAUAAUCUUUUAUAAUAUUGCAUCAAUAUUAUAUCAAAGAUAUCGUCGACGAUUUCUUAUUUUAUAUCGGUUCACAAUGCGACAUAACAUUUUGAGAUCUCAUUACUUCAUUAUUUUCAGGUACCUAAAUCUCUUACAAGGUUUCAUAAAGUGUUAUGUCGUAGACUCUUCAAGAGCACAUUACCUUCUUAUCAUGAUUAUUUGUUCCUUAUCCUUUUCAAGGAUUAUUUCAUUUGGAACCGAUUGGUCUAUCACGCUUCAACGAUGCAUAGACUCUAUCCUUUAAGAAUACAAAAUAGGAGCACUUGCAGCUAAAUAUGAUAUGCUUUCGGCAUUUGACUUAAAUUAUCUUUUGAAUGAGGAUCUGAUGAUAAUUCCUAACAUAUUUUAUAGUUGCUUAUAAUCUCCCCCUUAUGUAAGGAAAACUAACAUACAUCAUCCAUCUUCUUUGAGGAAUCCAUCUUUGUGCAUCAUGGUAUAUUUAUUAAUCGUAUACCGCACAUCAAAAUUAUUAGAUGGAAUAGUUGGUUCCUGAUCUUGAACCAAUUGAGAGGGAAGAAAUAAUCAUAAUAUAUUAGUCUAAUGCAUACAAGUGUUAUUGUAUGUAAUAUAUCAUAUUUCAUAUCAAUACAUGAAACUUUGUUCUCAUUAGUAAUGAUUCAACUAUUUAUGGAAGACAUUCAAUGCUAAACCAUCAUCAUCAAGAUGAAUUAUCUUGAUUACACAAUCUAAAAAUUAUUCUCGAUUUACAUUGAACAAGUAACUUUAUGAAUGUCAAACGUAGGUUAACCAUGAAUGUACAUGUGAUCAUCUUAUUGAUGCAUCUUUCCAACAUAUCACAUGAUAUAUGAACGGGCCCUCAUUCAACUUUUAUUCUUUUCAGAUUUUGAGGGAUCCAAUCCCAAAAUUAGUUGGUCCAACCAACUUAUCAUGAGAACAAGCAAUAUUAAAGUUCAUGAAGAAUUAGAAAAUUCUUCAAUAUAUGUUCAAUAAUCAAUAUGCACAUCUUCGGGAUAUCGCAAUCGUUCAUGUUAACUUAUGAACUUUUAAUCUAGUAAACUCCAAGUUUACCAUGAUAUGUGUUUUUGCUUUAGUAAAUUUCAGAUUUACUAUUAUAUGAAUAAAUUUCAGAUUUACUACUUCAGAAGUAGAUUUCAAAAUUACUCAACCUCUUUCGGAGGUGAGUUGUGAUACAAUCACAAUCAAGUGCACGUUUGUAUUAAUAAGUUUCUCAUUCCCCAGGAAUUGAAUAUAAUCGUGCCUUAAGCCUAUCAAAUUAUGAUAGCUUAUAACCCCUUUCAAGAUUUUGUUACUUCAGAAGCAAAUCGAGGCAUAUAUAUGAUGUAGAGAAUUCUUCUCUAGUAUAUCUUAUAAUCAUAUAAGCGUGUGAAAAUAUCGUCACUUUUGAUGAUCAUUAUCAUAUUGUCCCUCCACGCGUAUAUUAAUGCAUUUAAUCACUUGUCUUCUUUAGACAUAUUAUGCACUGCUACUAAAUACACCUCAAGAAUGAAAAUAAGUUGUCAUAUUUUAUACUUAUCAUAUAUUGCUACCACAUUCACUUCAUGGAAUAGAGCAUAUUUAAUGGGUCAAAUUUUAUGACUUUUCAUUAAACACCCAUUAUUUUGCCUUAGCCAUUAUAAUAUCAUCAAUAUGGUGUAUUGAGAUUCAAACUCAACAUCUUAUCUAUAUAAAGGCAUCUUAGGCAUGAAUCGAUGGGACUUGAAACUAACAUAUUACCAUCUUUUUUAAUUAUAUUAUUUUUGAGGAAUAAAUUUAAAAUAUAAAUGGUUCCAAACCAAUUAUUUUUCCUCAAAUACAAUAAUAAUUAUAUAAUAGUAGAAAAAGAAAGAUAACAUAAAGAAUUACUAACCUUGAAAUCCUUCAGAUUUAUAAUAUCACCUUGUUUGGCAGAGUCUCGUGCUAAUAAAGUGUUAUAAAACAAGAAAGAAUAAAGAAGAAGAGUAGAGAGAAUAGAGAGAGUAAUUCUUAUUUCUCUUGAGGGAUGAGAGAUCAUAAGAUUGUAAAUACAAUGAACAAAACCCCCUAUUUAUAGGGAAAAUUUACUCCUAGUCUGAGUAAAAGACGGAUGUUUCAAAUCCUAAUAGAUAUCAAAAUAGAUCUUGAUAGACAUUCACUAUAAUGUAAAUACAUUUAUAACAAAUCUGUUAAUUAAAAAAUUCAAAUAAUUAUGAGUUCCUACUUUAAGAUAAUGAAAAUCUUUUUUUUUAAAAGGAUAAUGUAUUCAAAUUCAAAUAAUUAAUCUUUUAAUUCAAAACUUCCAUUACUACAUUUUUUAACUUUGUCCUAAACACUGUCAUGUGACUAUUUUAAUAUGUUGUCACUUGGAAUCUUAUAUUGUUUUAAUUUUGAUUGUAUAUAUAUAUACCAGUAUACGUACCCGUGCGAUGCACGAAUAAUAUUAACAUAUUAUUCUAGUUACUUUAUAUUGAAGUGUAUCGUUCGAGCAUGUUAAAUCAUAUAUACUUUUAAAAAAUAGCUAUCAUAUUAUUUCUCAAAAAAUUAUAAAAAAAUAAAAACUAAAAUAUCCACCCUGACCUGUACAUCCAUGUCCACACACCCCUCAAUUUAAAAAAACGAAAAAGGUUCAAAUAUGUCCCUCAACUUUGCAAAAAGGUUUAAAUAUACCCUCCGUUAUAAGUUUGGUCCAAAUAUACCCUCGCCGUUAAAGUUUAGGAGCAAAUAUACCCCUAAACUUUGCGAAAGGGUCCAAAUAUACCCUCCGUUAUAGGUUCGGUCCAAAUAUGCCCUCACUGUUAAAGUUUAGGAGCAAAUAUACCUCUUAACUUUGCGAAAAUGUCCAAAUAUACCCUCCAUUACAACCCAUAAUAAUAAUAAUAAUAAUAAUAAUAAUAAUAAUAAUAAUAAUAAUAAUAAAGUUCAAAUUUUACACAAAUAAAUUAGCUUAGACAUAUGAAUUACGAUUUGUUUCAAUUAAGAACUUAAAACAUGUUAAAGUGUUUUAUUAAACUCUUUCGAUUUAAAUUUUAGAAAAGUUUAUGUUCUCAAGAAGAGGCAGAAUGAUUUAUAUACGACUGAAAUUAUUUUUAUAUAUAUACAAUAAUAAUAAAGGUAAACUUUUACAUCAAUAAAUUCAGUUCAAACACGUGAAUUGCGAUUUAUUAAGUUCAACUUUACACAAAUAAAUUAGUUCAGACACAUGAAUUACGAUUUGUUUCAAUUAUUAAACUCUUUCGAUUUAAAUUUUAGAAAAGUUUAGGUUCUCAAGCAGAGGCAAAAUGAUUUAUUUACGGUUGAAAUUAUUUUUAUGUAUAUAUAAUAAUAAUAAAGUUUAACUUUUAUAUAAAUAAAUUGAGUUCAGACACGUGAAUUGCGACUUAUUUCAAUUGAGAACUUAAACAUGUCUCAAAGUGUUUUAUUAAACUCUUUCGAUUCAAAUUUAGAAAAGUUAUAUUCAUAUUAUCAAGUAGAGGCGGAACAAUUUAUAUAUGAUUGAAAUUAUUUUUUACGUAUAUAUAACAGACGUUGCUCCUUCGGUAAUUAAGUUCAUGUAUUUAGAUUGUAACGGAGGGUAUAUUUGAACAUUUUCGCAAAGUUAAGGGGUAUAUUUGCUCCUAAACUUUAACAACGAGGGCAUAUUUGGACCAAAUUUGUAACGGAGGGCAUAUUUAAACCCUUUCGCAAAGUUUAGGGGUAUAUUCGCUCCUAAACUUUAAUGGCGAGGGUAUAUUUGGACCAAACUAGUAACAGAGGAUAUAUUUGAACCUUUUUACAAAGUUAAGGGGCAUAUUUGACCCUUUUCCCUUAAAAAAAAAAUAAAAGUAAAUUCAACCCCCUCCCACACGACAUCCAAUCCCCCCCUCCCCCUCCAAUUUUAUAUCUCUAAUGAAAUCUAUAAGAAAAAAUAAUUUAAUGUUAGAUUGUUAAUAUUUUCUCCUCCCCCACCUCUAACCAAAUUUAUAUUGGUAAAACUAAUCAUAUAAUUGCAAAAAAUAACUUUAAAGUUUUAUAUUUUUCUUUAUUAUUAUUUAAAUAUAAUUUAAAUACAGAACAAUUCGUGAAUGUGAUAUUAACUACCAAAACAAUUCCAAUUGUAUACGAUUGACUAAAUAAAGUAAAAAUAUGAUAUAGAACAACACUAAAAUGAAGAUCAAUAAUAUCAAACACAAUAUUUAGAAAAACUUAAGUCGGGUCAAUUAUAUCAAUAAAAUUUCUACUUUCACAUUUAUCUAUUCUUCUCUUUUCUUAAUUUUUCUUUAUUUCUUAUACAAAUUAACAAUAAUAAUAAAAUAAAAUUAUCACAAAAAAAAAAGAUAAGAACAUCAAAUUCAAGCUUGGAUAUAGUAUGAAAAAUUAACCUACUAAACGGUCAUCAUCUGCAUGUAACAGUAAUAAAGUUUAAUAAAAAAGAAUUUAUUUGAUUGAAGAAUAUGAAGAAUAUAACGAUCAAUAACAAAAACUUUUAUGGAAAUGCCUGAUGUUUGAGAAUGAUGCACGAUCAAAGGCAAAAUUUACUAUGUGGUUUCACUUUCAUGGAAAUUUACUAACUGUGGACAGACUUCUUAGAUGGGGUCUUAAACUUUCCCCUACCUGUGUUCUAUGUCUGAUGCAAGAUGAAACUAGAGAUCAUCUUUUCCUUUCUUGUGCUUUUGCACAAACCCUCUGGACUCGGAUGCUUCACUGGAUACAUAAAGAUGCUAUCACUGCAAGCAUAUGGGAGGACUAUACAAUGUGGGCUAUAAAGAAUGCUAAAAGUAGAUCGCAAAGAGUAAGAAUCUUCAAACUUGUAUUUGCUGAAUGUGUACACACUCUCUGGAUUGAAGGAAAUCAAAGAAUAUUUGAGGAAAAACAGAGGACAUGUGACAGCCUUGCAAAAGUUUUAGCUUACACCUGCAUUACCAGAGCUAAACCAACAAUCAGUACUCUUCUGCAUAAUUAUCGUUUCUAGCUAGCUUGACUAUUACCUCGAGUGGUCUUUUGUUCCCUUCUAGUUGAUUGAUUAGGAUCCUUGUCUUUCCCUUCUGUGAGUAUAGCCAGUUGAGUUUGUUAAGUUGUGCUUUGAUAUGUAAUGGUUACUUUGGUGAUUAAUAAAAUCAUGUUAGUUACCAAAAAAAAAAAAAAAAAAACUGGAGAAGGAACUUAAAAUUAUACAUCACCAUAGGAGUAUAAAUAACAGAAGUUAAAAAGAUAAAAUUUUAUUUCAAUUCAACUUUUAUUAAAAUUGAAAUUCAAUAGACUAAACAUUACUCACUUGAAUUUGGAGAUUGUAGAAAAAAAUAACAUGCAAUACGAUCAUCACUUAUCUACAUAUAAAAAAUAAAAAUAUUAAAACUAAAAACAAAACAUAGAACAAAGAAUAUGAAUAAUGUAGUAAAUAAGUUAAUUAUCAAUAGCGGAAGAAGAGAAGAAGAUUGACAUUGACACACACACAUAUAUAUAAGAGAUGUUAAGAGGAUAAAACUUCAUUCCAACUCAAAUUUCUUUUAAAUUUAAAUUCAAAUAUCACAUCAAUUAGUUAUAAAAGGAUCAGGUUGGUGAGAAGUUCUUGGAACAUAAGUAUUUAAUUUAAUUUUAUUUAAAAAAAAAAGAAAUUGUAAAUUACUUUUGAACGUAAAUAGUGCAUUCAAUUUGUAGAAUUGUGUUUUUAAAAACUUAAAACUUUUCCAUCUUUUUAAAUAUUUUAUUUAUUUAUUCCUAUUUCUAAAACUAUAUAUAUAUAUAUAUAUAUAUAUUUAGAUAUACACGUCUCGCGCGUGUAUCUCAAUUUAGUGAGUUUAAUUUUAAAAAAUCAUUCAAAAUAUAAAAAGCACGACGGUCUUUCAAAAUAUUUAUUGCAUUUUUUGUUUGUUAUUAAGCUAAUGAUUUUUUGUCUUUUUAAAAGGAUAAUACAUUUUCAAAUUCUAAUAUUUAAUAGUCUUUAUUUUAUUAUAACAUUAUUAAGUAUUGAUCUAAAAACUUUCACGUGACUUUUUAAUAUCUUGUCACGUAGCUUCUUGCCUUACUUUUAGUUUUACUUUUAUAUAUAUACAAAUAGAUUCUUUUAAAUUGAAAUUUAAAUAGCAUGUCAAUUUGCUAUCAAAAGAAUAGGUUGUAACUCUUUCUUAUCUAUACUUUUUUUAAAAAUAAUAAAUAUUUAUUUUAUAAUUCAUAUUUGAAUGAGAUAAAAUAUUUGAAACUACUAUUUAAAUUUUAGCUUAAUUAUACACCUAUAAAAGUAAGAAAUUCUUAGAACAUAAGUAAUUCAUUUUUUUCUAAAGAAAAAACAUAAUUCUGUAAAUUACUUUUGAAUACAAAUAAUCUCUUUUAAUUCGUUAUACUGCAUUUUUCAAAAUUAUCGAUGCUCCCGAAUUUGAAUCAACCACAAUCAAUUUUGUUUGAAUGGAUAUAUAUUUAAAGUACAAUUUAUCUAAUAUGAAAUUUAAGAUACUUUUGUUAUUUUAUCCACUCCACCAGACAAUUUAAUAUUCAUAAGAAAUAUUAUAUAGAUUGUUUUAAUUACUAUCAUUAUUGCUAUUAUCAUAUUAUUAUUAUUGCUAUUUAAACUAUCGUUAUUACUUUUGUUGUUGUUAAUAAUAUGUUGUUGCUCCUACUACGAAUACUAAUGUUGCUAUUAAUUCUUCUACUUCUACUAUUAUUAUUACUGCGUUUUCUUUUAAAAAUUAAAAAUACUACAACUUGUGGACUACUAUUACUAUUAUUAUUUAUAUCAAAUUUGUUUUAUCUUAUUUAAUAUUUGAAUAUUAUUAUAACAUUGAAUGACAUAAGUUUAGGAAUAGUAAAAGUUCAAUAAUAAUAGCAGUCUCUCUCUUUCUCUCUUGGCGCAUGUUAGUGCGCAACUUGCGCCUCGCCGGAGAUGGGCAGAGGGCGACCGAGGAAAACGGUGAAACACACUCAUGAGUAGGAAAUCCUGUGUGGCAUUCAGGCGAGCUCGGACUAUGCUGGAAAGAGGUCGGCAACAACACCAGACACCCAAGUUAACUAAGUGACUACUCCAUAUGUCACACCGGUAGAUAUAAUUAACACAAAGAAGAAAGCUAUACGGAGGGUAACUGGCCUGCUUUGUCAAUUAGAAAGUUAGGGGCUAAAACCAUAACCACACCUGCAGCGCCGAUGCCCGGUAAUACUGAAUUGAGCCUUCAUUCUAUUUACAACGCACUGAGAAAAAUUAGUUUGCCGGAGAAGCAAUGGACAAAUUUGUUUGCUACUAAUCGAUUGGCCACAAGAGGUAUGAAUUUAACCUUCAUCCCACCUACUAUUAAAGAAGGGGAAAAUAGUUGAAAUAUUGGUUAAAGAUGUAGCGGGAGAGGAGGCCAAAUGGAAAUCUGCUAUUGUUAUAUAUGUGAUAGGCACGAAUCCAUCCAUUGGAGCCAUAGAAUGGUUUGUUUUAGCAUAAGGUCAAUUUUCAAUUAAACCAGUGGUUUUGGCUCAUACUAAUGGGUACUAUGUUGUAAGAUUUGCUAAUGAAGCUGAAAGAUAUUAAGUUUUGUGUUCAGGGCCUCAUUACCUACUCAGACGACCUGUGAUUAUUAAGCCUUGGCCACCAGAAUUUAAUUUCAAAGAGGAAAUCCUUACAACCCUUCCACUGUGGAUUAAGCUACCUAACUUCCGCUAAGUUUCUGGAAUGCAGUAGUCUUGAGAAAUAUCAGGAGUACUGUGGGCCAACCGUUGUAUGCAGAUAACUGCAUAACUCAUGUUAGUAGAAUUUCUUUUACUCAAAUUCUCGUGGAGGUGGAUGUUACAAGACUUCUGCCUAAAAGUGUUAAGAGUUCAGGAUCCUAAAGGGUACACAUUUGAACAAAUGAUCUGGUAUGACUGGAAGCCUAUUUACUGUGAAGAAUGCUUAUAAGUAGGUCAUUUUUUCCCUACUAAACCUACUAAUCCACCGUCGAUGCAAUUAACCAAAGGACAAGUCCAGCAACAGAAGAAAGAAUGAAAGCCUGUUGAGGAGGCAGCCAAAGUACCUGAUCUAGUGGAUAAACCUACAAAAGAAACUAUACUACCGAAGCAAAAAUCCCCAGUUGAAGCAAGUAUAAUAGGGAUGGGUGGCAAACUGUAACAGGUACAUCAGCAACUAAAAGAACAUAUCAAGAUGUUGGUGCAUCUAUUCCAAGUAAGGUAUAUAAUUCAUAUGAGAUAGGUCAAAGUAGUGGUGUGGAUGUAGAAGAUGUGAAAGAUUUAUUUCAACCCAAACCCCUCUUCCAAUUAUGUUAGUUACAUGGAAUGUGUGGGGCUUCACCAAGUGGUGAAGCAUAAAGAGAUGAAGGUGUUUUUGAGGAAGAAUAAAGUUCAUAUAAUGACAAUUAGUAAGCAUAGAGUCAAAAAUAAUAUAGCUAGCAGUAUCAUUAAUAAAGUCCUGCCCAGAUGGGAUUGGUAUACUAAUGCCACUACAACUGUGCAAAGCAGAUUAUGGGUUUUCUGGAAUCCUGAUGAAGUCAAGUUCUCAACUCUAGAAGGCUCAGCUCAACAUAUUCAUGGUGUAGUGCGUUAUCUGGGGAGUGGUAGGAAGUUUCAGUUUAGAGGGGUAUAUGGGCUUCACACCAUUGAAGCAAGGUCUGCUUUGUGGACUGCUCUGAGAAGGUUAGAAGUCCAAACUACUGAUACAUGGGUUUAUCAUGGGGAAUUUUAAUGCUAUCUUGUCCCAGGAAGAUAGAGAAAUAGGAAGCCAAGUCCAGGAACAUGAUAUCAGGGAUUUUCAAAAUUUUAUAGUAGAUUAUCAUAUUUCAGAGCUAACUGUAGUAGGUAGAUCCUUCACAUGGACAAAUGGUCAUACAGUAGAAUUGAUAAAGCUUUAGUUAAUGCUACAUGGUUGCUGACUAUGUUUGUUCAACAUGUCCAAGUUCUAGAUCCUUUGUUUUCUGAUCAUUCACCUUUGUGUUUUAACUUUAGAGGAAGCUCCUGAAACAAGAAAAAGACCUUUCAAAUUUUACAAUCACUUGGCUCAGCACUCUGAGUUCAGGAACAUAAUUAGAGAUAGUUGGGUAAUAGCAGAAGGGGGUCUGAAAGGCAUAUGGAAAAACUUGAAAAUUGUAGAUUUAUCAUUCAAAAACUAAUUGGCCUUGAAUUUAAUAGUGUUACUGCAAGAGUACAAAGAAUCAGAGCUGAGUUGCAGGACAAGCAGAGAUCUAUGAGACAAACACCUGUUGAUGAAAAUUUUAUCGCACAAGAGAAGGAUUUGAGACUGCAACUAAAUAAGUAGAGUCUAAUCGAAGAAAGUAUAGACAAACAAAAAUCUUGAGUUCAGUGGCUACAGUUAGGUGAUUCAAACACAACUUAUUUUUUUGCAAGAAUGAAAGGGAGGAGGGCACAGUAUGAACCUAACUUAUAAUAAUAAUAAUAAUAAUAAUAAUAUCCCACGUAGUGCUACUUCUUAUAAUAACUAUAUUAUUACUACUUCUACUACAUAUCCUACAUAGUACUACUAUUACUAACUAUUAUUAUUAUUUUAAUAAAACUUUUAUAUUUUAUUAAUUUGUAAAUAAAUUAUAUUUAAAUAUGUUUUAUAGCAUUUAUAUUUUCGAAGAGAUAAGUUUCAAAUAGUAAAAGUCUAUUAGUAGGGGUGUUCAUGGUUUGGUUUUUAACCAAAUCGAACCGCGAUUCAAACCAAACCGAUUAAAAAAAUCGAUAUUUGGUUAGAUUUGAUUUGGUUUGAUUUUGAAUUUUAAAAAAUCGAUACUAAUUUGGUUUGGUUUGAUUUUACUCUAAAAUAACUGACAAAAUAACCAAAUCGAACCGAUAUAUAUAUAUUAUAAUUAUUUAUGUAUUAUUCAUAAACACAAUAUAAAUAUUUGUUACACUUUAUAUUUUAAUCAUAAUUUAACUAUAGUCGUAACACAUUAAGUCAUUUUUUCA
Molecule: long non-coding RNA, 39774 nt
Filed under: Capsicum annuum
Lineage: Eukaryota; Viridiplantae; Streptophyta; Magnoliopsida; Solanales; Solanaceae
Description: long non-coding RNA (CANN_LNC018980)
Source: RNAcentral